AUCGCCUCAGUCGUGGAAGCUUCUUUGAUGUCCUCAUCAAACGCCUCUGCGGUCGGUUUUCCAGAUUGGUAAUGUUUCCAUGACCAAUCUGCUAAGUUUGUGUGUUCAUCUCCGUUGUUUCCUUCUCUUCCAGUCACCAGCUCUAGCAAAACUACCCCGAAGCUGUACACAUCGAUCUUCUCAUCUACCUUUG
Arabidopsis thaliana (thale cress) is the source of this 193-nucleotide non-coding RNA. RefSeq annotates it as other RNA. The transcript has a single exon. NCBI's taxonomy places the organism in Eukaryota, Viridiplantae, Streptophyta, Magnoliopsida, Brassicales, Brassicaceae. The record is from RefSeq.